AACGCACAUUGCGCCCCUUGGUAUUCCGGGGGGCAUGCCUGUUCGAGCGUCAUUUCAACCCUCAAGCACUGCUUGGUAUUGAGCCCUAUGUCAGAAAUGGCAGGCUCUAAAAUCAGUGGCGGCGCCGCUGGGUCCUGAACGUAGUAAUAUCUCUCGUUACAGGUUCUCAGUGUGCUUCUGCCAAAACCCCAAAUUUUUUUAUGGUUGACCUCGGAUCAGGUAGGGAUACCCGCUGAACUUAA
Molecule: unclassified non-coding RNA, 242 nt
Filed under: uncultured Ciboria
Lineage: Eukaryota; Fungi; Ascomycota; Leotiomycetes; Helotiales; Sclerotiniaceae
Description: partial contains 5.8S ribosomal RNA, internal transcribed spacer 2, and large subunit ribosomal RNA
Source: RNAcentral